UGGGGAAUUUUGGACAAUGGGGGCAACCCUGAUCCAGCAAUGCCGCGUGUGUGAAGAAGGCCUUCGGGUUGUAAAGCACUUUUGUUCGGGAAGAAAGCGCACUGGUUAAUACCUGGUGUGGAUGACGGUACCGGAAGAAUAAGCACCGGCUAACUACGUGCCAGCAGCCGCGGUAAUACGUAGGGUGCAAGCGUUAAUCGGAAUUACUGGGCGUAAAGCGUGCGCAGGCGGUUUGUUAAGACGGAUGUGAAAUCCCCGGGCUCAACCUGGGAACUGCAUUCGUGACUGGCAGGCUAGAGUAUGGCAGAGGGGGGUGGAAUUCCACGUGUAGCAGUGAAAUGCGUAGAGAUGUGGAGGAACACCGAUGGCGAAGGCAGCCCCCUGGGCCAAUACUGACGCUCAUGCACGAAAGCGUGGGGAGCAAAC
This 426-nucleotide ribosomal RNA is filed under the name uncultured bacterium. RNAcentral's name for it is "bacterial SSU rRNA". It matches the Rfam family "Bacterial small subunit ribosomal RNA", at positions 355 to 773 of the family's 1533-position model. The record is from RNAcentral.